Molecule: ribosomal RNA, 1089 nt
Filed under: Triticum aestivum (bread wheat)
Lineage: Eukaryota; Viridiplantae; Streptophyta; Magnoliopsida; Poales; Poaceae
Description: partial small subunit ribosomal RNA
Source: RNAcentral
AUGGAGGAGCUUAGGCUCGGCGGCGGCGGCGGCAGGGGGAAGCCGCCGAUCCCGUCGUCGGCCUCGGCGAGGAAGUCGGUGCUCUCACGGCACGCAUCCUUUGCGAGGGGCCCUUUGAGCAGUACAAAAUCUGAAACAGAGAGAACUUUUGAAAGCACAGAUGUUGAAUAUAUCCCAGUUGUACGGUCUGGAGGCUGGGCUGACAUUGGGUCAAGGAGCUCAAUGGAGGAUGUCUACAUUUGCUGUGACAACUUCCUGCAAGAUUUUGGACCUGAAAACUGUGAAGAAGGGCCCAGUUCAUUUUAUGGGGUUUUUGAUGGGCAUGGUGGAAAGCACGCUGCAGACUUUGUGUGCAGCAAUUUGCCAAGGUUCAUCGUUGAGGGUGAUGGUUUUCCGGGGGAGAUCGAGAAAGCUGUCUCCUCAGCAUUCUUACAGACUGAUGCUGCUUUUGCAGAUGCUUGCUCUGUGAACUCCUCUCUUGCAUCUGGCACGACUGCGCUUGCUGCUCUCAUCAUCGGGAGGUCACUUCUGGUGGCAAAUGCUGGUGAUUGUCGAGCAGUUGUAUGUUGCCGUGGAAAGGCGGUUGAGAUGUCCAGGGACCAUAAGCCAUCUUGCAACAGAGAGAAGAUGCGCAUUGAAGCCUCGGGUGGUUAUGUUUACGAUGGAUACCUGAAUGGGCUGCUGAAUGUUGCUAGAGCAAUUGGGGACUGGCACAUGGAAGGAAUGAAAGCAUGUGAUGGUCUUGGGCCUCUUAGUGCGGAGCCGGAGGUGAUGAUGCGGAAUCUUACUGAGGAGGACGAAUUCCUGAUCAUCGGCUGCGACGGGAUCUGGGAUGUAUUCCGCAGCCAAAAUGCGGUAGACUUUGCACGCAGGAGGCUUCAAGAGCACAAUGACCCUGUCGCCUGCUGUAAAGAGUUGGUCGAUGAGGCCAUCAAGAGGAAGAGCGGCGACAACCUUUCCGUAGUUGUCGUCUGCUUCAACUCCAUAGCGCCUCCUGUCUUAACAGCUCCCAGGCCUCGCGUGCAGAGAAGUAUAUCCGCAGAAGGCUUGAGGGAGCUGCAGGGCUUCCUCGAUAGCUUGGCGGACUGA